This 370-nucleotide ribosomal RNA is filed under the name uncultured organism. RNAcentral's name for it is "bacterial SSU rRNA". It matches the Rfam family "Bacterial small subunit ribosomal RNA", at positions 526 to 896 of the family's 1533-position model. The record is from RNAcentral.
CGUAGGGUGCAAGCGUUAAUCGGAAUUACUGGGCGUAAAGCGUGCGCAGGCGGCUUUGCAAGACAGAUGUGAAAUCCCCGGGCUCAACCUGGGAACUGCAUUUGUGACUGCAUGGCUAGAGUGCGGCAGAGGGGGAUGGAAUUCCGCGUGUAGCAGUGAAAUGCGUAGAUAUGCGGAGGAACACCGAUGGCGAAGGCAAUCCCCUGGGCCUGCACUGACGCUCAUGCACGAAAGCGUGGGGAGCAAACAGGAUUAGAUACCCUGGUAGUCCACGCCCUAAACGAUGUCAACUGGUUGUUGGACGGCUUGCUGUUCAGUAACGAAGCUAACGCGUGAAGUUGACCGCCUGGGGAGUACGGCCGCAAGGUUG